Leishmania braziliensis MHOM/BR/75/M2904 is the source of this 80-nucleotide small nucleolar RNA. It matches the Rfam family "Trypanosomatid snoRNA TB10Cs5H2". NCBI's taxonomy places the organism in Eukaryota, Euglenozoa, Kinetoplastea, Trypanosomatida, Trypanosomatidae. The record is from Rfam.
GGAGCCCAUCUCGUCUGUGUUCUGUGCGAGAGAGGUUUGCCCUCUCUCCUGUGCGCUUUACACUGUAUCGAUGGGCAAGA